Molecule: non-coding RNA, 2820 nt
Organism: Myodes glareolus (Bank vole)
Lineage: Eukaryota; Metazoa; Chordata; Mammalia; Rodentia; Cricetidae
Source: RefSeq, a predicted model, not a curated record
ACACACACACACGGACACACACACACACACACACACACACACACACGUUCUUCUCUCAUACAAUACAACUCAACUCUCUCCAUUUGAUCUCCAUCCACUCCUCUCAGCUUCCCCCACUACCCCUCUCCCCAAGAUCCACAUCCCUUCCAUUUCCUUUCAGAAAAUAAUAGGCCUCCAAGAGACCUAAAUACAAGAGAGCUAAAUACAACAAAACAAGAUACAAUAAGACGAGGCAAAAGCCUUCAUAUCAAAGCUGGACAAGGCACUGUGUAGGCAGCACCCAAAGAUAGAUCCAGCCUUAGCACCUUGAAAUUUUAUUACGUAGGAUUCUCUUCCUAAAAAUUUAAUAAAGAAUAAUGGAUACAAUAUUAAAUAUUUCAGUGAGUACUUAUUUAGAUUAAGAAAACAAAUUUCAACACAUUACAAAGGGCUAAACCUGACAACACAAAAUCAUAAAAUCAAGAAAAAUAAUGUGUUGUUAAUAUGCACACUUCUGCAGUAUUUUUCUUUUUCUACAAGUUUUUAUUUCAUAUUGUUAUGAUUUUCUCUUUAUCAGAGAGUAAUAUUCUAAUAUUACUUUGGUAGGGAAGCUAAAAGUAUAAUUCAUUCCCCUGGCAUCAUUGAUCAAUGUUUAUUUUUCAUUAUUGCAGCUGGAGUGCAUGGCAAAUGCAAUUUCAACAUAUGAUAUUAUUGUUUGUAGUACUGCGGGAUUGUGCUCACAAAUGCAAGCAUACUGGUGCUUCUGGAUGCUUGAUUCCCAUCACAAAAGCCAAAAGCAUUAUCGUGUAUUUAUAAUCUUCUAUUCUGUGCUAUUGACAGCAAAGAAGAUGUUAUGAAGUGGAUGACAGCACGCAGGGCCUAUUGAGGCUGAAAACCACUGGUCUGGGUUUUGAUGAAGGGAAAUGCAUCCAGGAAGGAGAAACAGGACGCUGAACAUAGUCUUUUUGCGGGUCCACCAAGAGUCUUAAUGCCCACAGAAAAUAGAGGUUCAAGAAGACACUCAAGCAAGGAUCUGGCCCUCGACUAAAACUCAAGCCUACAGAGGGGAAUCCCACAUCACCAACCCAUGCAAGUAGUAGAGAUGCCUGUACUGUGAAGAUCUGUGAAACGAGAUGAUGCUAAGUACCCUCAAAUGUCUGGGUAUUGAAGACUUGAUCCUUGGAGUGGAACUGUUAGGAAGUACUACAGACUUUCAGGAGGGGGUGGUCCUGGAAUUCAUUAAUUUCCUACAUACAUGAAGGAAUGAACAACUGCAUGCUGCAAUCAAUAGUAAAAUGUCGGAGACGUAACACAUACGUUAACUAUAUCCAAAGGUACCUUAAAGACCAAGAAUAACAAGCUGGAAUAGCUGAAAAGGAAAGUGAGCAUGACAGGCUGUUGAAGAUCCCACAGUAUCAUUCCCAGGAAAUGAACCUUACAAAAUCUCUGUUAAUAGAAAAAUCCUGGUCUGGGAGAGAAGCUUGUAGAAGGAAAAUACAUGAAAAUGUCAGGCUAAGGACUCUUGUGAGACAGGCUGGCUGGUGCCGGCGAACCCAAUGAGGACUAUGGGAGCUGUAACAUGGGUGUGAUGGACUUCUUAGGAGAAAAUAAACCUGGCAAAGGAAAUAAAUAACCCACAACUCAGACAAGAGAGCUAUGAACCAGGAAAACGGCUGUGACCAUGAAAGAAGACGGUUGCUUUAGGGAGCAAAUCGAGAAAAGGGAGACCGGAAUGAGGAAAAUGCUAAGAAGCUACCAGAAGGCAGAAGGGAAAGCUAAAUAAUGAAUGUGGCCUCUCAGUCCGUUGGCUAGAGCUACCAGGACAAAGAAUGCAGAUGAGGGAGCUUAGCUAGAAAUUCAUUUCUUCCCAGCCCUGGAGGUUGGAAGUCUGAGAUCUUGUCAACAGAGUUUUAGGGUUCUGUCCUUGACCUCUAGACGGUCAUUUUCUGGGUCCUCUCAUGGUCUGCCCUCUGCAUGUGUGUGCUCCCUUGGCUCCUUACGUGGAGUUACAGUGCAAUAGUGUCCACUCGUAUGACUUCAUUGACCUUCAUUAUUUCUUAAAAUGUCCUGUGUUAAAGUCAUAUACUAAUGCAAAUGAGGGUGAUACAUAAAAUGUAAAUUUGGGGCAUAGAGACCAAUUUAGCCUAUGGAAACCUCCUUAUGGUUCCAGAUCUUCUUCCAGAAUAUUCCAUCUGUCUCUUCCCACUAUACUUUUAAUGAUACUCUUCUAAUCUGACAGGACUCAAUUUAGAUCAAAUUUCCAUAGGGAUGUCUUUCCUAACCUACAUAACCUCAAUCAAAAUUGGAUUCUCUGUUUUAGUUUCUCAUAUUACUCGUUAGUAUUCAGGCAUCUGUCCUGGCCUGACCUUGGGGUAUACGUCCUCAGCUGUAGCCACUAAGAGCACCUCCUGUGCAUUCAUUAUGCUCCCAUUUAAAAGGACCCUGCCCACCUCUCAUCUCUCUCUCUUCCUCUCUGUCUCUCUCUGUCUGUCUGUCUGUCUGUCUGUCUGUCUGACUGGUGCGCUCUCUCUCUCUCUCUCUCUCUCUCUCUCUUCUCUUCUCUUCUCUUCUCUUCUCUUCUCUUCUCUUCCGCAGUUCCUGUACCCAGAGGCUGUUCUCCCUGCUCUCUUCCCUCCUUUUACGUUCCCUUUCUCCUAAUAAAAACCCCUCCACAUGAACUCUACCUCAUGGUGUCUUUCUCUCUCACACUGCUUUUCUAAAUUAUAACACCCAUUGUUUCCAAAGAAUUUUAUCUCUUUUCAAAGUAUCAUAUUUUUUGUUGAUUUUUCUGUGUGUGCACAUGUGUUAGUAUGGUGUGUAUGUGAAUGUCCAUAAGUUUAU